UCCUCGGCGGGUUCGCCCGCCGAUUGGACAAUUUAAACCAUUUGCAGUUGCAAUCAGCGUCUGAAAAAACAUAAUAGUUACAACUUUCAACAACGGAUCUCUUGGUUCUGGCAUCGAUGAAGAACGCAGCGAAAUGCGAUAAGUAGUGUGAAUUGCAGAAUUCAGUGAAUCAUCGAAUCUUUGAACGCACAUUGCGCCCCUUGGUAUUCCAUGGGGCAUGCCUGUUCGAGCGUCAUUUGUACCUUCAAGCUCUGCUUGGUGUUGGGUGUUUGUCUCGCCUCUGCGCGUAGACUCGCCUCAAAACAAUUGGCAGCCGGCGUAUUGAUUUCGGAGCGCAGUACAUCUCGCGCUUUGCAUUCAGAACGACGACGUCCAAAAGUACAUUUUUACACUCUUGACCUCGGAUCA
Molecule: ribosomal RNA, 408 nt
Filed under: uncultured Peyronellaea
Lineage: Eukaryota; Fungi; Ascomycota; Dothideomycetes; Pleosporales; Didymellaceae
Description: eukaryotic LSU rRNA
Rfam family: 5.8S ribosomal RNA (bases 82-235)
Source: RNAcentral